This 253-nucleotide ribosomal RNA is filed under the name uncultured bacterium. Its description in RNAcentral is "partial 16S ribosomal RNA". It matches the Rfam family "Bacterial small subunit ribosomal RNA", at positions 524 to 776 of the family's 1533-position model. The record is from RNAcentral.
UACGUAGGGACCGAGCGUUGUCCGGAAUCAUUGGGCGUAAAGAGCGCGCAGGCGGUCGUGCAAGUCGCGUGUGAAAGCCCCCGGCUCAACUGGGGAGGGUCACGCGAUACUGCUCGACUCGAAGGCAGGAGAGGGAAGUGGAAUUCCCGGUGUAGUGGUGAAAUGCGUAGAUAUCGGGAGGAACACCUGUGGCGAAAGCGGCUCACUGGACCAUAACUGACGCUGAUGCACGAAAGCUAGGGGAGCAAACAGG